UUUGAUUUAGGGUGAGGAUUUGGUUAGGAUUUGGUUAGGAUUUGGUUUAGAAUUUAGGAUUUAGUUUAGAAUUUAGAUUUUGGUUAAGAUUUGAUUUAGGGUUAGGAUUUGUUUAGGUUUUGAUUUAGGAUUAGAAUUUGGUUAAGAUUUGGUUUAGGAUUUAGGAUUUGGCUUAGGAUUUAAGGUUCGAUUAGAUUUUGAUUUAGGAUUUGGUUAGGAUUUGCUUUAGGAUUUAAAAUUUUAUUAUGAUUUAUUUAAGAUUUUAUUAGGAUUUAUUUAGGAUUUAAGAUUUAGUUAGUUUUUGGCCUAAAAUUUGAAUGAAGUCUA
This 327-nucleotide long non-coding RNA is filed under the name Physcomitrium patens. RNAcentral describes it as "long non-coding RNA (PPAT_LNC013993)". Lineage: Eukaryota; Viridiplantae; Streptophyta; Bryopsida; Funariales; Funariaceae. The record is from RNAcentral.